GACGAACGCUGGCGGCGUGCUUAACACAUGCAAGUCGAACGGUGAACUCCGCUUGCGGGGGGAUCAGUGGCUAACGGGCGGGUAACACGUGGGCAACCUGCCCCCAGCUCUGGGAUAACUCCAAGAAAUUGGGUCUAAUACCUGACAGGACCGCUGACCUCAUGCUUGGUGGGUGGAAGGAUUUAUCGGCUGGGGAUGGGCGCGCGGCGUAUCAGCUUGUUGGUGGGGUAGUGGCCUACCAAGGCGACGACGGGUAGCCGGCCUGAGAGGGUGACCGGCCACACUGGGACUGAGACACGGCCCAGACUCCUACGGGAGGCAGCAGUGGGGAAUAUUGCGCAAUGGGCGGAAGCCUGACGCAGCAACGCCGCGUGGGGGAUGACGGCCUUCGGGUUGUAAACCGCUUUCAGCAGGGACGAAGCGAAAGUGACGGUAACUGCAAAAGAAGCACCGGCCAACUACGUG
RNAcentral lists this ribosomal RNA (465 nucleotides) under uncultured bacterium. Its description in RNAcentral is "partial 16S ribosomal RNA". It matches the Rfam family "Bacterial small subunit ribosomal RNA", at positions 28 to 507 of the family's 1533-position model. The record is from RNAcentral.